UGCACCUCAAUGAACCUAAUUGGUGCACUGUGAGCAACCAUCAUCUGUCCACUGGAUUUCCAUAGCGCGCGGCUUCCAUCCAGAACAUAUGAAUUUGCUCAGACAGAUCCUUUUAAGGAGUUGAACAGAUAGGUCGGAGAAAAUGGCACAGCGCGUGGUUUUGUUUCUGCUGUGGCUCUCUGACAGAUCAUUUGCAGGAUUUCCUAACCAGAUAAAUAUCGGGGGACUGUUCAUGCGUUCCACGGUGCAGGAGCACAGCGCGUUCAGGUUCGCUGUCCAACUCUACAACACCAACCAAAACACCACUGAAAAGCCUUUCCACCUCAACUACAAUGUCGACAACCUCGAGUCUUCCAACAGCUUUUCAGUCACCCAUGCGUUUUGCUCCCAGUUCUCCCGCGGAGUGUACGCCAUCUUCGGAUUCUACGACAAGAAGUCCAUGAACACCUUGACCUCCUUCUGCGGUGCUCUGCACACCUCCUUUGUCACACCCAGUUACCCCACCGAUAAUGAGGUGCAGUUUGUCAUCCAGAUGCGCCCCGCCCUCCGGGGUGCCGUCCUCAGCCUGCUCUCUCACUACAAGUGGCAGAAGUUUGUCUACCUCUACGACACAGACCGAGGUUUCUCUAUACUGCAGGCCAUCAUGGAGGCAGCAGUAGCUAACAACUGGCAGGUGACCGCUCGCUCUGUUAGCAGCACAACGGACGCAGCAGAGUUCAAGCGCAUCAUUGAGGAGAUGGACAGGAGGCAGGAGAAGCGCUAUGUGAUUGACUGUGAGGUGGACAGGAUCAACACCAUAUUAGAACAGGUUGUGACCCUGGGGAAGAACAGUCGUGGUUACCACUACAUUCUGGCCAAUCUUGGAUUUUCUAAUGUGAGCUUGGACAAAGUCUUCGCCGGUGGAGCCAACAUUUCAGGGUUUCAGAUAGUCAACCCUGAGAACCAGAUUGUGCAGCAGUUUAUGCAGCGCUGGGAGCGGCUAGAUGAAAGAGAAUUCCCAGAAGCCCGAAACACUCCUCUGAAGUACACUUCAGCUCUGACCCAUGAUGCCAUCCUGGUGAUAGCAGAGGCCUUCAGGUACCUGCGGCGCCAACGUGUGGACGUCUCUCGCCGGGGCAGCGCCGGAGACUGUCUAGCCAAUCCCGCUGUGCCUUGGAGCCAAGGCAUCGACAUUGAGAGAGCUCUCAAAACGGUCCAAGUGCAGGGCAUGACUGGCAACAUCCAGUUUGACAACUAUGGCCGCAGGACCAACUACACUAUAGAUGUUUAUGAGAUGAAAACAGGUGGGCCGAAGAAGAUUGGGUACUGGAAUGAAUACGCGCGAUUUGUAAAUAUUAUGGACCCGCAGGUCUCCAACGACUCCUCAGUGGAAAACCGAACGAUUGUGGUCACUACUAUUAUGGAAGCUCCUUAUGUGAUGUACAAGAAAAAUUAUAUGCAUCUGGAUGGGAAUGACAGAUAUGAAGGCUACUGCGUCGAUUUAGCAUCUGAGAUUGCCAAACAUGUUGGAAUUAAGUACAAACUGUCUAUAGUAAUGGAUGGGAAGUACGGAGCCCGAGACCCAGAGACCAAGACGUGGAACGGGAUGGUGGGUGAACUGGUCUAUGGGAGAGCAGAUAUAGCUGUUGCACCUCUCACCAUUACUCUGGUUCGAGAGGAGGUGAUAGACUUUUCCAAGCCCUUUAUGAGCUUGGGCAUCUCCAUUAUGAUAAAGAAGCCGCAAAAGUCCAAGCCCGGCGUAUUCUCCUUCCUGGACCCGUUGGCCUAUGAGAUCUGGAUGUGUAUAGUGUUUGCCUAUAUUGGGGUGAGCGUGGUCCUGUUCCUGGUCAGUCGGUUCAGUCCUUAUGAGUGGAACCUCGAGGAACAGGACGAGACCAAAGACCCUCAGACACCCCCGGAUCCUCCCAAUGACUUUGGCAUCUUCAACUCCCUCUGGUUCUCACUGGGCGCCUUUAUGCAGCAGGGCUGUGACAUCUCCCCCAGAUCUCUGUCGGGCCGUAUUGUCGGUGGUGUGUGGUGGUUCUUCACCCUCAUCAUCAUCUCCUCCUACACAGCCAACCUGGCUGCCUUCUUGACAGUGGAGAGGAUGGUCUCUCCUAUAGAAAGUGCCGAAGAUCUGGCCAAACAGACAGAGAUAGCAUAUGGCACUCUGGACUCAGGCUCCACAAAGGAGUUUUUUAGGCGGUCCAAAAUAGCAGUAUAUGAGAAAAUGUGGUCAUACAUGAAGUCCGCUGAACCCUCAGUGUUUGUUAAGACCACACCCGAUGGCGUAGCCCGGGUACGAAAGUCAAAAGGCAAGUUCGCCUUCCUCCUUGAGUCCACCAUGAACGAGUACAUCGAGCAGCGGAAGCCAUGCGACACCAUGAAAGUGGGCGGGAACCUCGACUCGAAGGGAUACGGUGUGGCGACGCCCAAAGGCUCAGCAUUAAGAAAUGCUGUUAACCUGGCAGUUUUAAAACUGAAUGAGCAAGGCCUCUUGGACAAAUUGAAAAACAAAUGGUGGUACGACAAGGGAGAGUGCGGCAGCGGGGGAGGUGACUCCAAGGUCAGCCUCGAUGUCACCACAAUCGGGUACCAUAGUGCAGAGUAAUCGGCAAGGCUGUUAAAACAACCCAACCAUAACCAAACCAACUGUCCGCCCCAACCAACCUGCUGCUGCCCCACGGCAGAUUACCAAAUUAACUUCCAGUCUGACAAGACAGCUCAGAUCAAACUAAGGAGCCUUUGCUUAACCAACAGAAAAACAAUAUUUGUGGUUUUUGACUGUGAUGUUCAUAGACAUAGCAAAGUCUAAGAGUUUUUGUCGCCUUAGACAAACUUUGAAGUUGGAAAUUCUCAGAAAAGGGCCACUAUUAGGUGAAUGUGGCUGCCCUGCAGUUGUGAAAGGUUGAGCUCUAUUUAUUCACCCUUACACGUGUGUAGGGCAGAUCAUCCAGUCUCAGAUAUUAGGAUGUUGUCUAGUUCGCUUUCACAGUUUGAGUAAAACCAGUUGAUGAAUUCAUGCGCAUUGUUAUUGAAGUUUGCCAGUAAUCUUAAAUUGAAAAGUUUGUAACAUCCAGCCUUCCCUCCGGAAGGUGAAGUUUGCUAACAAUCUAAAAUACAUGGCUUUGUAGUACUUCGCCGCACAGCUGCUUCACAUCCAUGACACUGGCCGAGAGCAAAAAAAAACCUCAAAAUGGCUGCUCAGUUGAGGCCGACAGGAAAGCAAGGGGAACAGCGGCGUCUUGAGGGGACUAAGCAUUGCAGGCAAACGUGAGAAUUCUAAUUAAUUCCUACCCAAACUCUUUAAUAACCCAGCCGUGACCCUUUUGACGAUCAGAUCUCUCACUCUUCUUCUGUGGUCAAAUUAUGAAUAAUUUUUCCAUUAUGGAAGCUAAUGGUGCAAAGUGUGAAACCCCACUCAACAAUGACAACUUAGUGUAAUGCCACUUAGAUUAUGUGCCAUGAAGCUAUUUUCUCUAGAUGACAUAUAUGGCUCUAGCAUUUUAUUCAUUACAGUGCAGGUCAGUUUAAUGACAGAUGAUGCUGUCAGCACGCAUGUGAUUAUAUAGUUCAGUAAAUUGGCUGUAUUACGGACAAACUGCAUGGUCUGCAGAUUGUGUCAUUACUCUCUUAAUGUCAUUUGUCAUGGAUUGACCACAAUGAACAUUUAAGCUGCAGUGAGACUUGUUUUAAACAGCAUCACCACAAGACUCUGCAUGAAUCACAUAUCCAACAAUGUCUUACUAGAUGCCAACAGUUAUUUUUUGAAAAGGGUUCAAGUCACCCUUUUUCGAUGUUUGCAUUGCUAACAUUGCUAUGUUCUGUUGUCACCGAGCUCAGGAGGCCUCCCUGUGCUACUGGGAGCUCAUGCUCAGGAGCUAUUUGAAAGAACCUGUCUCUUGUGCUGUCAUCGAUCUUUUAUCACGCACAGGUAUGUACUGUCUCUCUGUUUCCUGGGUUGUUUUGGCUCCCCAGGACUCAGUGGAAAGGCCCGCUUAGGUGGAAUAAUGCUGCCUGGAGCUCUCUGUUCCAAGCAGCGCAUCGCUCGGUGCUGUCCCGCUCACAGUUUCGUGUUCCAAAAGACAUCAGGAGUUGCACAUAAUCAUGCACACCCACUCACACACAGUUAACACUGCUCUCUGCUGCCCCCAGGCACAACACAGUGCAGCCUUGAUUGAGUUUCAGACAUAGAGCAUGUUACAGGGUAAUUGCAUUGUUAAUCAAUGUCUCUCCCAGCCAAGACAAUGGUCUGGUCUUCACAGUCCGUUUCUCCAGAUUGGCUAUGAGGGAUAUACAGUGGUUUAAUCUUCUCUCAGUGCAUUAUGCAUUGCAGGGAUCCCCUUGGGGGACAUUUUUCCCAGGGAGUAGUCAGGCCACUCAUUUAUCAAUGCACUAUUUGUCUUUGCUUCAGAUUUGCUUUUUUACUUUCACACAUAGAGAUUGACCAGAGCCACAAACAAGCCACUGUUACAUUAUGACUGCAAAAUGUGAUCUUUAUCCAGCCUUUACAAUUGUUUUUUUUUUCCUGAAGUAAUUUAGCACAACACAAUACGAUGAUAAUUUAUAUUUACAUUAAGUAUUCUGGUGUCAUGAUAUAACUCCCAGAGAUAUCAAGCGGCAAGAAACAGCUGUGUCAGACAUUACAUUAUGCAGCUGCAGGCAAAUAUGAGAGGAAUUAUUCCACUGAUACUUUUGAGCUUAGUCCUGCAGCUCUGUGCAGUUUUGUUAGGACACACUUCAUCUGACACUAAUCUGGCAUAAUUGGAAGAUAAGGUUUUCUUAGCGAUAUGUCGGAAUAGAACACGCAAGAAUUAAUUAAGCUUUCACUUUUGGGCAUAGUUGCUUGGAUAUGAAAUUGGUUGUAAUACCUCCAGAAUUGAUUGUUGUAAUGCUGGUGACAAUAAUAUUAGCCAUCGCAAGAUUAAGCAGAUAUUGUGAAAAUGGAAAGGCUGUGUCUAUCGCUUAGAUUUUUCUGUUUGUUAAGACAGAGUUCUUGUUGGACUGAACUUGAUGAAAAACAUGCUGUUCAAAAAGCCCCUGUGAUCCGUUACCUUCCCCCAAACAAAUGUACCCCAAUGCUUUUUAAUAACCACAGACUUGCAGAUUGUGCUCUCAGUACCUGCUCGUCGCCCUGUUAACAGCGCCUGCCGAUUACUCAAAGCGAUAUGGGUAGGUCCUGGCUUUAGACUAGGGGUUAUAAAGGUAAUAGGUAGAAUGCCUGCUAUCUGUGAUGUUGAUAUAGCCAGGUGCCCUGCUUUAUCGCUUUGUAAAGUAUGUAGUAGUUUAAAAGUUGAAUAACAUAAAAUAACAUAAUAUAAUGUUAUUUAUGUUAUUUCCCACGUGAAGAACUCCUGUAAACCUUGCAGUAUUGAAACUCAGUGAACAAGGCAUCUUAGACAAGCUGAAAAACAAAUGGUGGUACGAUAAGGGUGAAUGUGGAACCAAGGACUCUGGAAGUAAGGACAAGACAAGUGCUCUCAGCCUAAGCAAUGUG
This is an RNA transcript of Micropterus salmoides (largemouth bass), 5476 nucleotides long. It is a transcript of the gene named glutamate receptor, ionotropic, AMPA 3b, with no coding region annotated. The record is from RefSeq and is a predicted model, not a curated record. NCBI's taxonomy places the organism in Eukaryota, Metazoa, Chordata, Actinopteri, Centrarchiformes, Centrarchidae. The transcript has 15 exons.